CAGUAGCCGCGGGAAUACGUAGGGCGCAUGCGUUGUCCGGAAUUAUUGGGCGUAAAGAGCUCGUAGGCGGCUUGUCACGUCUGCUGUGAAAUCCCGGGGCUCAACCCAGGGCGUGCAGUGGAUACGGGCUGGCUAGAGGCAGGCAGGGGAGAACGGAAUUCCCGGUGUAGCGGUGAAAUGCGCAGAUAUCGGGAGGAACACCGGUGGCGAAGGCGGCCAUCUGGGACAACACUGACGCUGAGGCACGAAAGCGUGGGGAGCAAACAGGAUUAGAGACCCCGGUAGUCCCUGUCUCUUAUAC
This 301-nucleotide ribosomal RNA is filed under the name uncultured bacterium. Its description in RNAcentral is "partial 16S ribosomal RNA". It matches the Rfam family "Bacterial small subunit ribosomal RNA", at positions 509 to 807 of the family's 1533-position model. The record is from RNAcentral.